AGUAGGGAAUCUUCCGCAAUGGACGAAAGUCUGACGGAGCAACGCCGCGUGAGCGAUGAAGGCCUUCGGGUCGUAAAGCUCUGUUGUUAGGGAAGAACAAGUAUCGGAGUAACUGCCGGUACCUUGACGGUACCUAACCAGAAAGCCACGGCUAACUACGUGCCAGCAGCCGCGGUAAUACGUAGGUGGCAAGCGUUGUCCGGAAUUAUUGGGCGUAAAGCGCGCGCAGGCGGUCCUUUAAGUCUGAUGUGAAAGCCCACGGCUCAACCGUGGAGGGUCAUUGGAAACUGGGGGACUUGAGUGCAGAAGAGGAAAGCGGAAUUCCACGUGUAGCGGUGAAAUGCGUAGAGAUGUGGAGGAACACCAGUGGCGAAGGCGGCUUUCUGGUCUGUAACUGACGCUGAGGCGCGAAAGCGUGGGGAGCAAACAGGAUUAGAUACCCUGGUAGUCCACGCCGUAAACGAUGAGUGCUAAGUGUUAGAGGGUUUCCGCCCUUUAGUGCUGCAGCUAACGCAUUAAGCACUCCGCCUGGGGAGUACGGCCGCAAGGCUGAAACUUCAAAG
Molecule: ribosomal RNA, 563 nt
Filed under: denitrifying bacterium P(A1)
Lineage: Bacteria
Description: bacterial SSU rRNA
Rfam family: Bacterial small subunit ribosomal RNA
Source: RNAcentral